GUGGAGCAUGUGGCUUAAUUUGACUCAACGCGGGAAAUCUUACCGGGUCCGGACACACUGAGGAUUGACAGGUAUUAUAUAGCAACCUUCGGGUUGUCUAUUGUUAAAUAUGCUAGUCCUUUCAUGAUUAUGUGAUAGGUGGUGCAUGGCCGUUCUUAGUUCGUGGAGUGAUCUGUCUGCUUAAUUGCGUUUCAGAUAAGGAUCUAUAUUCUUUACAAGUGUCGCAGUGUAAUUGACCCCUCUUUCACGAGAGUGUGUGUCUUUUUUGCGCUCGCACUUUACAUUAGGUCCUGAAAGCAACGAACGUGACCGCAACCUCUUGUUGCCUCAUCUCCCAACAUUCUUUCCUUCGGGUUAGAUAUUUCCAUUGAGGCUUUCCAAAACUAGAGGGACCGCUGUCAACUUCUUAAACCAGAGGAAGGUUGCGGCAAUAACAGGUCUGUGAUGCCCUUAGAUGUUCCGGGCUGCACACGUGCUACAAUGAUUGUUGCAGUGAGCAUCUCAAUUUUUUACCUAACACCGCACACGUGAGUUUGCAUACUUGUAUGUUACUUUACGC
RNAcentral lists this ribosomal RNA (559 nucleotides) under Globigerinita glutinata. RNAcentral's name for it is "SSU rRNA". It matches the Rfam family "Eukaryotic small subunit ribosomal RNA", at positions 1176 to 1533 of the family's 1831-position model. The record is from RNAcentral. Lineage: Eukaryota; Foraminifera; Rotaliida; Globigerinitidae.